GGGGCUCUUAGAGGCACUGCAGAUGUGGCUGCUGUGCCUCAUGUGCAUCAUCAGUAGGUAGCUAAGAGGGGAGAGACUAUGUCUACACUCAGUGUUUUGACCUGUGAACAUCUGAAAGAUUAGAAGCCUAACAUU
This is a small nucleolar RNA of Mastomys coucha (southern multimammate mouse), 135 nucleotides long. RefSeq annotates it as small nucleolar RNA SNORA17. The transcript has a single exon. NCBI's taxonomy places the organism in Eukaryota, Metazoa, Chordata, Mammalia, Rodentia, Muridae. The record is from RefSeq and is a predicted model, not a curated record.